GACGAACGCUGGCGGCGUGCUUAACACGUGCAAGUCGAACGGAAAGGCCCUGCUUUUGUGGGGUGCUCGAGUGGCGAACGGGUGAGUAACACGUGAGUAACCUGCCCUUGACUUUGGGAUAACUUCAGGAAACUGGGGCUAAUACCGGAUAGGAGCUCCUGCUGCAUGGUGGGGGUUGGAAAGUUUCGGCGGUUGGGGAUGGACUCGCGGCUUAUCAGCUUGUUGGUGGGGUAGUGGCUUACCAAGGCUUUGACGGGUAGCCGGCCUGAGAGGGUGACCGGCCACAUUGGGACUGAGAUACGGCCCAGACUCCUACGGGAGUCAGCAGUGGGGAAUAUUGCACAAUGGGCGGAAGCCUGAUGCAGCAACGCCGCGUGCGGGAUGACGGCCUUCGGGUUGUAAACCGCUUUCGCCUGUGACGAAGCGUGAGUGACGGUAAUGGGUAAAGAAGCACCGGCUAACUACGUG
This 468-nucleotide ribosomal RNA is filed under the name uncultured bacterium. Its description in RNAcentral is "partial 16S ribosomal RNA". It matches the Rfam family "Bacterial small subunit ribosomal RNA", at positions 28 to 507 of the family's 1533-position model. The record is from RNAcentral.